This 2603-nucleotide ribosomal RNA is filed under the name Triticum aestivum (bread wheat). Its description in RNAcentral is "partial small subunit ribosomal RNA". The record is from RNAcentral. Lineage: Eukaryota; Viridiplantae; Streptophyta; Magnoliopsida; Poales; Poaceae.
CCCCCUGCCGCGCGCCUCCUCUCCCCCUCUCUCUCGUUCCCCUCCCUCCUGCGCGCCUCCUCUCCUCCUGCCUCGUCGCCGCCUCCUCUCCCCUCCUGCGCCCGCCUCCCUGCCCUGCCGCCGGCGUCGCCACCGCCGCUCGCCCGGACACCCAUCCCCGGCCUCACGCCGCCCAUCUAGAGAGAUGGGGGCCGCGCGCGACGAGGCCGGCCUAGCCGUCGCCUCCUUCUCCCGCGACCGCGCCGCCCUCUCCUCCUUCCUCACGCAGCCGCCCUCUCCUUCUUCCUCCCGCCUCCCUGCCAUGCCGCCCCGCCGCCUCCUCCCUCGCUCGCUUCCUCUCCUCCCGCAAUCGCCUCCCUCCCUCCCUCGCUCUCGUGCAGCCGCCGCGGCGCUCCCACAUCUCCUCCCCUUCCUCUCCCAUAGCCAUGUUCGCAGAGGCGCUGUAGAUCCCCGCCGAGCAGGCCGCGCUGGCGCUUGGGGCGCUCGCCGCCGUGCUCCCCGGCGACGAUGACGCCCCCGCAGCGGACGGUGCAUCGGAGGCCGACCUCCACGGACGGCACGUGGGUGCCGCGGUGCUCGCGGAGGCGCUGCAGAUCCCCGCCGAGCAGGCCGCGCUGGUGCUCGGGGUGCUCGCCGCCGUGCUCCCCGGCGACGAUGACGAACCCGCAAUGGAAGGAGCUGGCGCCUCCCCGCCCCCAUCUAUCCACUCCGUCCAGCUCCUCCUGUACCCGCAGCAGAUAGAGAGAGGGAUGAUGUGAAGGAGAAGAGAGGAAGGAGAAGCCAUGCCCCGUCCACUGCGUCGUGCGCGACGACUGGCUGGGCUCUGUUUCAGCACCCCAAUCUUCCUACCUCUAUCCCCUUCUUUUUUCUCCAUCCCUUUCUUUCAGAUUUUUUUGUGUACAUGCAUACAAGGCGCUCGAUGAAAAUCCAAGCAGGUCAUGUGACUUGCCUACGGAAGAUAUGAGUGUCCUCGGAAAAUAUUAUUAUGCUGGAUCUACUAUGGUUGCCACAUUAUGCAAGUCAGCAUUUAGUGAUCUAAAAGUUUAGACCAUGGCAUUAUGUUCAAUGCUCAGCAAAUCCACCCUUCGUAGGUGUGAAGAUCCAUUGAUAAAGUUUAUUUGAGGAAACUGUACCGUUCCAUGGACCCAUCAUUUCGGCGAGCCGGUCCUAUUAUUGCACUGAAGAGGCCAUCUCUUAGCAUUGAACCACAAGUUCAUGUUCGCAAGCUGAAACCAAGAUAUAUGUGUCUGAUAUUUGCCUCAAAUGGUCUUUGGGAGCAUCUUAGCGAUCAGUACAGGAAGUUGUAGUAGCUGCCCCAUCCUUUUUAAUCUAAAUGAUGGUACUUCUAGGACACGGACAAUUGCCCUCAAGGCGAAUAUGACAUUUCCCGUGCGAGAUCAAAUGACUUGAGCAUUACAUUGGUUCAACUGUCCCUCUCAUCAAGUAUUAUGUUUGCGAGAUGAACAAGACUUUCAUGACUCCUGGACAGAGGAGAAUGCCAAGCUGGAUCGGUGGCGCGGCGGAGGAGCUGUCUUCUGAGUUGACCAGAGAGGGAGCACACCGGAGAUGCUUCUGAGAUGGCCAAGGGUUUACUGAUCGAUCCAUCCUGAUUGGGAUCUGUUCGUGGUUCUGGUUGACUGGCUGGUGCGUCGUGCCGUUGCUGGUGCUUGAGGUUGUCUCGCUGGUUUCCUUGCAGUAUCGUCGAUCUGUGCAUCCAGGCACCCCAAGCUUUUCCUCGCGCGAUGGCAUCAGGCGCACGGAGGGAGCUCUUCUCGGUCGAUGUGGUGAACAACGACCGUGAUCCCGUUCCACGUCGUCACCUGCUAGCAAGGCCAAGACAAGCAUCGUAAGGGUCCAGUUAGAAUGAUGACUGAUAUCCUGUUAGAGCAUCUUGGGCUUCACAAGGCCAUCUGAGACUCGGGCUCAAUGAGAACACGAUGAGGUACAUAGAGAACUCCAGAAACACUAUAGUGAAGGAUCUAAACUAUGACAGGCUGAGCAGAAUGCAGAAAGACUUUUGCUUAUCCGAGACUCGGGAUCGAUGAGGCAUUUGACAUGAUAAACAAGUGCCAAAGGUUACUUGUAUGAUCUGAGAUACAUGAGCUCCUUCUCAGACCAACUUCAUAAUGUGAUAGCACAUGGCUUUCCUCCUACCCGUGUCGUGGAUACAUUGACAAACGUGACCCUUAUGAAUAUUGAAGUGGUGGCACAUAACCUUGAGAGCAGAAGCAAUCAUCUGUUGAAGAGGCUGCAUGCCAUAAAAAGACACUCUUUAGGCGCAACAGCAUGAGGUGUUUGCACCAAUUGAUUUCUUCACACCAAGGCCAUGGCGUUGAUCAUCUAUGGACAUCACAGAUCACCUAUUCUAACUCUGGCAAGUACGAGAUGAUAUAUGAUGCCACCAGCUCCUGUGAUGUACCGUGUAAACUACUGUGUGAUCUCCCUCUCCUUUUGUGAACACGUCCCCUUUGGCACGUCUAUUCAUACUUUUGCACUCAAUAUUUAUGUGUAUGAACAUUGCAUCCUUUAAUUUACCUUGUAUAUGAACAUUACAUCCUUCAAAUAUGGUGUACUAUAUUUUGGUAUCCAUGGAUGAUGUCUUG